CUUAUGUGAACUGGACUGUAGGAUUACUGGCAGAAGCGAAAAACUUAACUUAGACUAGUGACGGUUGAGGCCCUGCUAAUGCCAAGUGGCGGUGAGAGGCUCUAUCUAUGAUUUGGGCGAAGUGGAUUAUGUUGCCACAGAUGUGGUGGCGGGAUGUUGGCCUCUCGGUGACAUUUAAAAGGUUCAAACGUGUGGCCGUGACGAGUGAGGCCCUGACUACGGCCCUGUAGAAGAGCGAAUGAGGCGAUUAACUAUGAUUUGGGCGUAGGGCCAUACCACCGUGUUGAGGUUUGGGAGAUGGUUUGUAAAUGCCUCGGUGAGCUAGGUCUGACGUUCAGACCCUGUGAGCCAGUUCACGUAACAACUAUGGGAUAAAUUGGCGUUUUAUGUGCUGGUAGGAUACUAACCUUGAUAGAGAUUAUACUCGUGGACUUGUUUCUUCAAGUAUAUGAGAGAGAGGUCCAGUGGUUGGUGAUGUCGUAGCAGAAGCCUAAGGGGUUUGAGACAGAUGUAGAUCUGAGUGAGCGUGGC
Pelobates cultripes (western spadefoot toad) is the source of this 531-nucleotide non-coding RNA. Lineage: Eukaryota; Metazoa; Chordata; Amphibia; Anura; Pelobatidae. The record is from the annotation of a GenBank genome assembly.